This is a long non-coding RNA of Serinus canaria (Common canary), 202 nucleotides long. RefSeq lists it as uncharacterized. The transcript is spliced from 3 exons. NCBI's taxonomy places the organism in Eukaryota, Metazoa, Chordata, Aves, Passeriformes, Fringillidae. The record is from RefSeq and is a predicted model, not a curated record.
AGGGACAGAGCGAUCCAUGAGAGGCUCGCAUCCAUCUGGUGAGGCACAGACAGCAGCUGACAUUGGGGCAGCUUUGUGUCUUGGAUGGACAGGAGGUCUCCUGCCACAGGAAGAGAGGUGACAAAAUGAGAAGAGUGAAAAUGAGCAAAUUAAAGACCGUAACUAGGAUGUUUACAGCAGCAACAUGGUGAACAAACAGAUA